GUCAACGGUCAUACCACGUUGAAAGCACCGGUUCUCGUCCGAUCACCGAAGUUAAGCAGCGUCGGCGUAGUCAGUACUUAGAUGGGAGACCGCUGGGAACACUGCGUGCUGUUGACU
Molecule: ribosomal RNA, 117 nt
Filed under: Bemisia tabaci
Lineage: Eukaryota; Metazoa; Arthropoda; Insecta; Hemiptera; Aleyrodidae
Source: RNAcentral